GACGAACGCUGGCGGCGUGCUUAACACAUGCAAGUCGAACGGAAAGGCCCUGCUUUUGUGGGGUGCUCGAGUGGCGAACGGGUGAGUAACACGUGAGUAACCUGCCCUUGACUUUGGGAUAACUUCAGGAAACUGGGGCUAAUACCGGAUAGGAGCUCCUGCUGCAUGGUGGGGGUUGGAAAGUUUCGGCGGUUGGGGAUGGACUCGCGGCUUAUCGGCUUGUUGGUGGGGUAGUGGCUUACCAAGGCUUUGACGGGUAGCCGGCCUGAGAGGGUGACCGGCCACAUUGGGACUGAGAUACGGCCCAUACUCCUACGGGAGGCAGCAGUGGGGAAUAUUGCACAAUGGGCGGAAGCCUGAUGCAGCAACGCCGCGUGCGGGAUGACGGCCUUCGGGUUGUAAACCGCUUUCGCCUGUGACGAAGCGUGAGUGACGGUAAUGGGUAAAGAAGCACCGGCUAACUACGUG
This 468-nucleotide ribosomal RNA is filed under the name uncultured bacterium. RNAcentral describes it as "partial 16S ribosomal RNA". It matches the Rfam family "Bacterial small subunit ribosomal RNA", at positions 28 to 507 of the family's 1533-position model. The record is from RNAcentral.